Molecule: transfer RNA, 67 nt
Filed under: Melanocharis longicauda
Lineage: Eukaryota; Metazoa; Chordata; Aves; Passeriformes; Melanocharitidae
Description: tRNA-Cys
Source: RNAcentral
GGCUCUGUAGUGAAGUUCAUAAUGAGUUGCAAGCUCGUUGAUGCGCAUUAAUUAUGUGCCGGAGUCU